This 253-nucleotide ribosomal RNA is filed under the name uncultured bacterium. RNAcentral describes it as "partial 16S ribosomal RNA". It matches the Rfam family "Bacterial small subunit ribosomal RNA", at positions 524 to 776 of the family's 1533-position model. The record is from RNAcentral.
UACGUAGGGUGCGAGCGUUGUCCGGAAUCAUUGGGCGUAAAGAGCGUGUAGGCGGCCCGGUAAGUCCGCUGUGAAAGUCCAGGGCUCAACCCUGGGAUGCCGGUGGAUACUGUCGGGCUCGAGUCCGGAAGAGGAGUGUGGAAUUCCUGGUGUAGCGGUGAAAUGCGCAGAUAUCAGGAGGAACACCAAUGGCGAAGGCAGCACUCUGGGUCGUGACUGACGCUGAGACGCGAAAGCGUGGGGAGCAAACAGG